UUCGCUGCCGGCAGGCCUAAACAUGCAAGUCGAGCGGUAGCACAGAGAGCUUGCUCUCGGGUGACGAGCGGCGGACGGGUGAGUAAUGUCUGGGAAACUGCCUGAUGGAGGGGGAUAACUACUGGAAACGGUAGCUAAUACCGCAUAAUGUCGCAAGACCAAAGUGGGGGACCUUCGGGCCUCAUGCCAUCAGAUGUGCCCAGAUGGGAUUAGCUAGUAGGUGGGGUAACGGCUCACCUAGGCGACGAUCCCUAGCUGGUCUGAGAGGAUGACCAGCCACACUGGAACUGAGACACGGUCCAGACUCCUACGGGAGGCAGCAGUGGGGAAUAUUGCACAAUGGGCGCAAGCCUGAUGCAGCCAUGCCGCGUGUGUGAAGAAGGCCUUCGGGUUGUAAAGCACUUUCAGCGGGGAGGAAGGCGGUGAGGUUAAUAACCUUAUCGAUUGACUUUACCCGCAGAAGAAGCACCGGCUAACUCCGUGGCAUUAGUCUCGGUAAUACGGAGGGUGCAAGCGUUAAUCGUAAUUACUGGGCGAAAAGCCCCUGCGUGCUGCCUGCAAGUCCGAUGCCAAAUUCCCGGCCCCAGGCGGGGGACUGCAUUUAAACCGCUGCUGAUGUUGGUGAGGGGGGCCGAACCCCACGGGUGGGGUAAACCCUUUGGACACUGGGAGAGGCCGGGGGCGAAAGGGCCCCCUUUGGGAAUCGAAAGUUUGGGGGUUACCCCCCGUGCCCGAAUGAUUAUC
This 744-nucleotide ribosomal RNA is filed under the name Klebsiella pneumoniae. RNAcentral describes it as "bacterial SSU rRNA". It matches the Rfam family "Bacterial small subunit ribosomal RNA", at positions 32 to 782 of the family's 1533-position model. The record is from RNAcentral. Lineage: Bacteria; Pseudomonadati; Pseudomonadota; Gammaproteobacteria; Enterobacterales; Enterobacteriaceae.